AAACUAGAGGCUCUAAAGAGCCUGUGUCGCUCACCUUGGUCUAUGUGAAUAUUAAAGGAAGCAGAUGGAUUCAUGACAAAAUUGUGUUUUGGUGAUGGUGAUGUGUUUGUACAUCUUACUUUACUGAACAUUCUUGCUGCUUAAAAUUAUCUCUAUCUAUAAUGAACUUGACCCAUUAGUUUCAGUGGAAAAUGUUAGUAAAAAUUUACAAAUUUUAUGAAAUUGUUAAAAACUUGACUAUUAAAGAACAAUAACUCCUAAGGGGUCAUUGACCAUUUCGGUCAUGUUGACUUAUUUGUAAAUCUUAUUUUGCUGAACAUUAUUGUAGUUUACAGUUUAUCUCUAUCAAUAAUAAUAUUCAAGAU
RNAcentral lists this long non-coding RNA (365 nucleotides) under Mytilus galloprovincialis (Mediterranean mussel). The record is from RNAcentral. Lineage: Eukaryota; Metazoa; Mollusca; Bivalvia; Mytilida; Mytilidae.